This 598-nucleotide ribosomal RNA is filed under the name Saccharomyces cerevisiae (brewer's yeast). Its description in RNAcentral is "eukaryotic LSU rRNA". It matches the Rfam family "Eukaryotic large subunit ribosomal RNA", at positions 33 to 650 of the family's 3401-position model. Lineage: Eukaryota; Fungi; Ascomycota; Saccharomycetes; Saccharomycetales; Saccharomycetaceae. The record is from RNAcentral.
UUUCAAAAUUCUUUCGAGGAAAAGAAACCAACCGGGAUUGCCUUAGUAACGGCGAGUGAAGCGGCAAAAGCUCAAAUUUGAAAUCUGGUACCUUCGGUGCCCGAGUUGUAAUUUGGAGAGGGCAACUUUGGGGCCGUUCCUUGUCUAUGUUCCUUGGAACAGGACGUCAUAGAGGGUGAGAAUCCCGUGUGGCGAGGAGUGCGGUUCUUUGUAAAGUGCCUUCGAAGAGUCGAGUUGUUUGGGAAUGCAGCUCUAAGUGGGUGGUAAAUUCCAUCUAAAGCUAAAUAUUGGCGAGAGACCGAUAGCGAACAAGUACAGUGAUGGAAAGAUGAAAAGAACUUUGAAAAGAGAGUGAAAAAGUACGUGAAAUUGUUGAAAGGGAAGGGCAUUUGAUCAGACAUGGUGUUUUGUGCCCUCUGCUCCUUGUGGGUAGGGGAAUCUCGCAUUUCACUGGGCCAGCAUCAGUUUUGGUGGCAGGAUAAAUCCAUAGGAAUGUAGCUUGCCUCGGUAAGUAUUAUAGCCUGUGGGAAUACUGCCAGCUGGGACUGAGGACUGCGACGUAAGUCAAGGAUGCUGGCAUAAUGGUUAUAUGCCGCCC